This 945-nucleotide ribosomal RNA is filed under the name uncultured archaeon. RNAcentral's name for it is "bacterial SSU rRNA". It matches the Rfam family "Archaeal small subunit ribosomal RNA", at positions 1 to 940 of the family's 1478-position model. The record is from RNAcentral.
GGCCGCGGGAAUUCGAUUUCUGGUUGAUCCUGCCAGACCCGACUGCUAUCAGAGUGGGACUAAGCCAUGCGAGUCAACGUAGCAAUGCGUGGCGAACGGCUCAGUAACACGUAGUCAACAUGCCCAGGGGACGUGGAUAACCUCGGGAAACUGAGAUUAAACCGCGAUAGGUCAAGAUUUCUGGAAUGGAUCGUGUCUUAAAUCUACAUGGCCCCUGGAUUGGACCGCGGCCGAUCAGGCUGUUGGUGAGGUAAUGGCCCACCAAACCUAUAACCGGUACGGGCUCUGAGAGGAGAAGCCCGGAGAUGGGCACUGAGACAAGGGCCCAGGCCCUAUGGGGCGCAGCAGGCGCGAAACCUCUGCAAUGGGCGAAAGCCUGACAGGGUUACUCUGAGUGAUUUCCGCUAAGGAGAUCUUUUGGCAGCUCUAAAAAUGGUGCAGAAUAAGGGGUGGGCAAGUCUGGUGUCAGCCGCCGCGGUAAUACCAGCACCCCGAGUGGUCGGGACGAUUAUUGGGCCUAAAGCAUCCGUAGCCGGUUGUGCAAGUCCUCCGUUAAAUCCAGCCGCUCAACGGAUGGGCUGCGGAGGAUACUACAGGACUAGGAGGCGGGAGAGGCAAGCGGUACUUAGUGGGUAGGGGUAAAAUCCUUUGAUCCAUUGAAGACCACCAGUGGCGAAGGCGGCUUGCCAGAACGCGCUCGACGGUGAGGGAUGAAAGCUGGGGGAGCAAACCGGAUUAGAUACCCGGGUAGUCCCAGCUGUAAACGAUGCAGACUCGGUGAUGGGCUAGCCUCGUGUCAGCCCAGUGCCGCAGGGAAGCCGUUAAGUCUGCCGCCUGGGGAGUACGGUCGCAAGACUGAAACUUAAAGGAAUUGGCGGGGGAGCACCACAAGGGGUGAAGCCUGCGGUUCAAUUGGAUUCAACGCCGGAAAUCACUAGUGAAUUC